RNAcentral lists this ribosomal RNA (254 nucleotides) under Clostridioides difficile. RNAcentral describes it as "partial 16S ribosomal RNA". It matches the Rfam family "Bacterial small subunit ribosomal RNA", at positions 946 to 1199 of the family's 1533-position model. Lineage: Bacteria; Bacillati; Bacillota; Clostridia; Peptostreptococcales; Peptostreptococcaceae. The record is from RNAcentral.
UUAAUUCGAAGCAACGCGAAGAACCUUACCUAAGCUUGACAUCCCAAUGACAUCUCCUUAAUCGGAGAGUUCCCUUCGGGGCCAUUGGUGACAGGUGGUGCAUGGUUGUCGUCAGCUCGUGUCGUGAGAUGUUGGGUUAAGUCCCGCAACGAGCGCAACCCUUGUCUUUAGUUGCCAUCAUUAAGUUGGGCACUCUAGAGAGACUGCCAGGGAUAACCUGGAGGAAGGUGGGGAUGACGUCAAAUCAUCAUGCC